UGCAGGCUCCGCCUAUAAGGCGCGUGGCCUGCCGGUGAUAUAUAGCGUAGUUUUGUUCGCUGUAACGGACACGAAAGCGGCUAUAACGGAUAUCCAGCGCAGAUACGGAGUCGGGAUUAUUAAUAGUCACACAUCUGGUCAGUUCUUCAGCACUAGGAUGGUGAAGGAAACGCGAGCUGUGCACACUGUAAAAAGCUACUGUAAGAGGACUGAGCCACUGAAGAACUACUUAUUCAAACUUGGAAUCCAUCCCAGGAAGCACAUGGCAUGAGGCAGGGGACACCCUGGACUGGGCAGACACACACUGAGAGCUACUAAUUUAGCCCAUAAGAAGAAACCAGAGAACUAAGUGGGAAACCCACACAAGCACAGGAACAAACUUGAAAACUCCGCACACAUUGCCAGGGCAGGAAUCAAGCCCACAAUCCUGGAGGUGUAAGCCUUCAUAGCACCAUUUUGCCUUGCCUGAUGACAAAAUAAGUCAUUAAGGCAUCGUCAGGCGUGAGUGUUUGCGGUGGGCCGGGAAGGCCAGCUCCGAUAAGACUGGUGGACCGGAUGAUAGCAGGAACGAAGCGAAGGUGGACGGCACAUCGGAAGCUUGAUGAAUAUCGGGCCUGUCCUCAGUGUCAAUAUACUCACUAGGCAUGGAUAAGAAAGACAGGAUGGCAUGAAGUCAUGAAGAUUUCGCGGUAUAUGACUGCGCCGGAUACUUGGCGUCCGGUGACAGAAUGAUGAAAAAAGAGGGGAAGGUGUGAUGAGGAAAAGAAGAAAGGCAGACUUCAUGAAGAUCUGCAACAAGCUAAGAUGCUGGUGGUAAAGAUCAAUGAGGACGUAGUUCACAAUUCCCAUCCUGCUUAGAGGUCAGAUCCAGAAUGUCAAAACAAAAAAGAAUUUGAGCUUCCUGUCAGUCUCUUUUGGUUUCUCGUAUACCCUUGUUUUCUCCUCUCGCCCCCACCACCCCCCCCAUCCCGGUUUGUAACCUCUCAGGCAGAAUUCUGUUGCUGUGAGGCAGCUGGUCUAAGUGUGAACUCUGAAAACAUUGCAGCGUUCUUCAGCUCAUGCUGCGCGUGACUGUGGCCUGUUACAGAUUCCCACUGUUAUUGUCAAACCUAGCUAGGCCUGCGGCCCAGCUGAUGACAAGACCAUAAAUUCCCUCUGCUGUUUAACCUCAUUGUCAUUUCUAUAUCAUGAGAAAGUUUGAUGUUAGCACUGGGGAAGGGCAGUGAAGUUUUCAGAAGCACCGAGGGCAGCUUAUGGUAACUUAAGAGGCUAUAAUGAAUCAACUGCUUCGCUGACCUGGAUAUCUCCUGACUAAGCCUAGUGUUUGUCCAGAGAGACUUAACAAAGUAUACAAAACACUUAAAUAUUUUAAAGUAUACCCCUAUACCUGUCUUGUUUUUAUUGUCUUCAUUUUCUCCAUUUUGCACUAUGCCAUGCCAUUCAGCAGCUGUGUUCAUCUCCUGACAGCGGGGUACUUCUGGAAAUGAUAAGUAAUGGAAUGUUGUUAUUAUUUUCAGGAUUUAAUAAAUGGCAUAUUGGGUGCUUUGUUGCUCCAUGGGUCAUGACUUUACUCUCUAUCUUCAAGCUAUCCUUAUUUGUAUGUCACUUUGAACAAAAAAACAUCUGCUAAGUAAAUGUAAAGAGAUUGAUACUGCAUUCUCAGAACCAUGCAUUCUUAGUAUAAAUUUGUAUGUGCGAUCCAUAUUUUUCUAUAUUUUGGAGACUGUGGUCGACAUGCUCUUCAGAAACCCUAUAGGUACAUUAUGGUUGUUUAAGUAGGUGGUCCUGCAAAGACAGCUUACUGCAGUGUAGACCCUGGACGGCUUUCUUACUGACGUAAGAUAGAGCUGUACUGCUGCAUCCUGUGCGGUUCAAAAGCUGGUUAUGUGGUUGGUUGAAGAGUCUAAGAGUCGU
This is a long non-coding RNA of Brienomyrus brachyistius, 1914 nucleotides long. RefSeq lists it as uncharacterized. NCBI's taxonomy places the organism in Eukaryota, Metazoa, Chordata, Actinopteri, Osteoglossiformes, Mormyridae. The record is from RefSeq and is a predicted model, not a curated record. The transcript is spliced from 5 exons.